This is a long non-coding RNA of Amphiprion ocellaris (clown anemonefish), 766 nucleotides long. RefSeq lists it as uncharacterized. The record is from RefSeq and is a predicted model, not a curated record. NCBI's taxonomy places the organism in Eukaryota, Metazoa, Chordata, Actinopteri, Pomacentridae. The transcript is spliced from 3 exons.
AUGUCCAGAGGAGGUUCUGGUCCGUGUGUGUGGGUUUCCUGUAAACUGUUAUUUUGAUGCUGCUGUCUUCUCUGUGGUGAAUGUUCAUGUCCAGGAAUGAAAUGGUCUGGUUUAUUUCCUCUUCCUGUGUGGAUUGUAUGUUUCCCGUGUCGUCCAUGUUGUUCAGAUGAUCAGUGAGUUCUUGUGUGUGUCCAGAUUUUAUUAUUUCCAGGAUGUCGUGGACGUAUCUUCUCCAGAGUGUGGGUCUGCAAAGCGGGGAUGGCUUUGGUUUCCAGGUCCUCCAUGAAAAAGUUACUCAUUAUGGCUGAAAGUGGAUCUUUUUUUCAACUUUAUUUUACCAGCAUUAAAACUUUGUCUGCAGAGAGAAAAGAACGACUCCGUUUUUUGCCAGACUGGAGGAUGUUGGAGGGAGUCUGUUAAUCUCUCUGGACCUGACAUUUGAAAACCUCCAUCUCUCCUCACCCUCCCAGCCCACUGAUACGGAUCUAAGACCCGACCGGCCUCUGGGGCGGCGUUUGGUGAAGUUAUCUCUGGAGGCUGCUGGAGGAUAAAUGUGGAGAUCUGCAGAUAGAAGCCAAGAAGAUGGACGGAGCUGGAGAGGAAGAAGAUCUACAGUGGUGUUCAAAAUAAUAGCAGUCCCACAUCACUUUAUCAGGACCGUCAGUGUUGAUUUAACUUAUUUCUGUAAGUUAUACCUUGAAAAAAGAAACGGGGUGCUGGGGGGAGGAGGGGAGCAGGGCCGUGCAGAGACCUUUGGAGGGGCAGG